RNAcentral lists this ribosomal RNA (484 nucleotides) under uncultured bacterium. RNAcentral's name for it is "partial 16S ribosomal RNA". It matches the Rfam family "Bacterial small subunit ribosomal RNA", at positions 29 to 507 of the family's 1533-position model. The record is from RNAcentral.
AUUGAACGCUGGCGGCAUGCUUUACACAUGCAAGUCGAACGGCAGCGCGGGCUUCGGCCUGGCGGCGAGUGGCGAACGGGUGAGUAAUACAUCGGAACGUGCCCAGUAGUGGGGGAUAGCUCGGCGAAAGCCGGAGUAAUAACGCAUACGACCUGAGGGUGAAAGCGGGGGAUCUUCGGACCUCGCGCUAUUGGAGCGGCCGAUGGCAGAUUAGCUAGUUGGUGGGGUAAAGGCCUACCAAGGCGACGAUCUGUAGCUGGUCUGAGAGGAGGACCAGCCACACUGGAACUGAGACACGGCCCAGACUCCUACGGGAGGCAGCAGUGGGGAAUUUUGGACAAUGGGCGAAAGCCUGAUCCAGCAAUGCCGCGUGUGUGAUGAAGGCCUUCGGGUUGUAAAGCACUUUUGGCGGGAACGAAAAGGACUGUGCCAAUACCACGGUUCGAUGACGGUACCCGCAGAAUAAGCACCGGCUAACUACGUG